GUCUACUUCUUUAUGCUGAGAGAGCUAGAGGUAGUACAAGAAAGCUACACACUGAUUUGCAAGAGGACUUCAAAUUUCAGGUUCCAUCCUUUUACGAUAUUCUUUGUAUGUGGUAGUUCUAUUGCAAGUGAUUGAUUGAAGACCUCUUUUUUUCUUGACACUAUGGAAAGCCAUUAAGUUUCUAAAAUUCUUAGUUGGACAUAAUGAAUCUUAGACGACCCAAGUUCUUUUGUGUGAUUCCCGAUGAGAUCGUUGUCUACUGCAUAAUAAUAGAAAAGAAGUUGCAAAUCUGAUGAAAUGGACACUGCAUGUUCUGUAACUAGACUAUGCCCGUAUCAUACGCUUCUACUUUCAGACAAGAGAAGCUGCUUACUGUGUUUCAUUGUUCUUCUGAUGUCCCUUUGAAGAAAUACAACAUAAAUUUCUUUUGCCAGGUUUACUUGACAUCAUUAUAGUGUGCUCUUGUUGAACUGGUCUCAUGAUGUCUAUGAUGACGUGCAGGAGGGGGAUGACCCACACGGCCAUGAACAUGUUCUGCCUGUCGGCAAAGCAACUCCAGGUGCUUGCCAUCCCUCACCGAGCCCUCCCUUCGUGCCUACGGCUGACAGUUCAUUGAGGAGGCCAGCAUCCUUUUCGAAAUGUAUCCCCCCUCCUCUUGCUUUAACAUUUAUCAAGGUGAGAAGCAUCCCCAUGUCUCAGUUUUCUUCUUAUUUCAGGUUUUGACAACGGAAGAUUAUUCACUUUUUACUGUUACUUUCACCAGCAAACCAAUGAUCACUAUAUGAUAUUGAUAUAUCCUCAAAGUUUAUCUUAAUUUUGAGCAAUACACUUUUUGUUUAUAUGCAGAAUCUAUGGAGUGUGCUUUUGCAUGUAUUGACCUUGCUUAUGAAUUGUUUGUACAACUCAUUCCAUGUAAAGCUAAUGCUUUAGUUACAUAAAUAUCCAAUUUAAGAAUUAUAUGCUCGCUUUUUCCUAAAAACAUUUUUCCUAAUGUAUCGUGACAGUGCAUGUAUGAUUGAUGGGGAAUGGUUAUGUAUCAUGACCUAUCUUCCAUAAUAUAUUUUAUAUGAAUGUGAGUCAUGUUCUUUUUAUAUUGACAUAAAUGCUUAGUUAUUCAUUUUCCAGUAUUUUAUUUCGUGUCUUGAUUCUGCAAAGCUAACAUAUCAUCGCAAUGGAGUAUGUACCUCUAGAAUUUUUGUCUGGAUCUGUUUAGAUUUGUAUACAUAGUCUUUCCGGUUCAUGUUGAGCCAUAGUAGUAUAAAGUAUUAACAUCGAAUUUUCCGGGUUAUGUAAUUUUAGCCUAACCUAAGAUGGAGUACAACCAGUGGCUGCAUUUAAUUUUCCAUUUCAUUAUUAUUUUCUACCUAUCCUUAUUUCUUUUAUGAAGUACCCAUGUGCUAAGUUGUAAGCUAACUUUUGUGUUAACUGUUUAUUUCUUUUUGUCCUUCAAAUCUUUUUAUUGUGACUAGAGGUACCUCCUAACUCGGGUGGCUGAAUCUCCUUGUAUACUAUAACUUCAAGUAUAGCUAUGGUACCUUCAUAGUUAUAGUCUUACAAAAUAGAUAUUGACCAUUUUCACUUAUUUCAAUUAUAUAUGCGUGUACAUUCUAGCCACUGUUGUUGCUUUUGUGAUGGCACUAAGUGUCUGUCAAAAUUGGAAAUUACCAAAUGUAUGUGUACCUUGUACCUUAAUGGUAGCUACUGCAACAUGUUUGCGCUAAUUAUAUUUUGCUAUUGGAUUUGGCAAUGGUUUUGUGUAUGUCACCUCCAGAGAUAUCUUGAUGCAUCAUUGGUCUUCAUUU
Molecule: long non-coding RNA, 1802 nt
Filed under: Triticum aestivum (bread wheat)
Lineage: Eukaryota; Viridiplantae; Streptophyta; Magnoliopsida; Poales; Poaceae
Description: long non-coding RNA (TAES_LNC002245)
Source: RNAcentral